AUUGAACGCUGGCGGCAUGCCUAACACAUGCAAGUCGAACGGCAGCACGGCAGUAGCAAUACUGUGGGUGGCGAGUGGCGGACGGGUGAGGAAUACGUCGGAAUCUGCCCAGUCGUGGGGGAUAACUAGCCGAAAGGUUAGCUAAUACCGCAUACGACCGAGAGGUGAAAGCGGGGGACCGCAAGGCCUCGCGCGAUUGGAUGAGCCGACGUCGGAUUAGCUAGUUGGUGGGGUAAAGGCCCACCAAGGCGACGAUCCGUAGCUGGUCUGAGAGGAUGAUCAGCCACACUGGAACUGAGACACGGUCCAGACUCCUACGGGAGGCAGCAGUGGGGAAUAUUGGACAAUGGGCGCAAGCCUGAUCCAGCAAUGCCGCGUGUGUGAAGAAGGCCUCGGUUGGUAAGUACGACUUUA
Molecule: ribosomal RNA, 414 nt
Filed under: uncultured bacterium
Lineage: Bacteria
Description: bacterial SSU rRNA
Rfam family: Bacterial small subunit ribosomal RNA
Source: RNAcentral